AGGGCGGCGAAGCCGUGAGGUGGAGCGAAUCCCAAAAAAGCCGGUCUCAGUUCGGAUUGCAGGCUGCAACCCGCCUGCAUGAAGUCGGAAUCGCUAGUAAUCGCAAGUCAGCAUAUUGCGGUGAAUACGUUCCCGGGUCUUGUACACACCGCCCGUCACACCAUGGGAGUUGGCAACACCCGAAGUCGAUGAGCUAACCUUUUAGGAGGCAGUCGCCUAAGGUGGGGUUGAUAACUGGGGUGAAGUCGUAACAAGGUAAC
Molecule: ribosomal RNA, 260 nt
Filed under: uncultured bacterium
Lineage: Bacteria
Description: partial 16S ribosomal RNA
Rfam family: Bacterial small subunit ribosomal RNA
Source: RNAcentral